GCGAACAACGGAGACGCCCCGGCUCGGCCGGCAGUUCCGCGUCGAGCGAUCCGACGAUGACAACAGCGGUCGGUAUAUUCGCGAUGUCAGCCGAGCGCCCGAGCCGCCGCCAACUUCCGAGGGAAGCCCGGCGGUUCGGCGGUAAAAAAAAAAAAAAAAAAAAAUUAAAAAAAAUAAAAAGCCGGAGCCGCGGGUGACGCCACUCGGCUCGAACGACUACUGCCACGCGCCGCCGGGUCCCGGCAGAAGUCGAGUUAGUGAAAACGCGACCGCAGUGGACAUAACGAGUCCGAAUGUCGCCAAAUAUUUGCCUAAAAUAGGAAAGUUUCACUCCACACUGACAGAAACCGCCGCCAUUUUGGGAACCGUCCACGUCCCGUGGUCUUGGGGGGUGGUCGGACGACACUCACAUAUUCCAAAACCUCGCUGGUGAGCUGAAACCAUCUCCUGGUUUAUAUAAUAUAUUCAAAUAAUUCACUCUUCAUAUGCACAUGGAAUUAUUUUGGCUGUGGCCGUUUCCGUUCAGCUUGCCACCCCCCCAACAUUGAGGUAAUGGUAGCGUCCAGUGUUCAGCUGAUAUAAGGGAAACCCCGACAGUAAGUGACGGGAACGUCUCUUCUGCUGCUGAUGCUGAUGUCAGGGGACGAACAUCUCCGUGUCGAGCAGCAGGAGCAGCCAUCACCAGGACAACUCUCCGACAAGGCUCCAGUUACAAAAGGGCUAAUAAGCUGUAAUCAACGUCUGGAUCCAUAGCUAAUACAUUACCUGCUCAUUCGUCAAGGGUCAGUGACCACUGAAGACCUGAUGGAGUGAUGCAGAACCCUGUUUGGAGGAUGUGGUGUAAAUGUUAAUCAUCAGUUUCCAGAUGGUUUGGUCCAGGCGUCCUGCAGACCUUCUCCAGAAAGCCAGUGUGGACAUCUCUCUAAUGAGUCAAAGAGAAAGAGAGUGUCUUAAUCUGGAGGACGAUGUCCCACAACCUGGCAACCCAGAACGUGUUCUUUUUAAUGUCUCAUAAGUGACCUAUGGAGCAUCAGCCUCCCUCCACUGUCUCCAGCCUUAGCUGGACACCCGGACAAAAAGAGGGGACGUCAGGCCCCAGAGCUUCAGACCAGGACCAGUGGAUGCCCUCUUUAGCCCCCCGUGGAGCGUCCCGCCCUCACGCUGGACGAGGUCAUCAAUGUGCACAGAGACGUUUUAUCAGAGCUGAGUUUACAGUGAAUGGACUCAGUAACUGUGUGUGUGUGUCUCAGGUUUGUUGCUUUCCCUCUGUUCUCAAGACCGUAUGCCUGCCUGCUUUGUAAAAGGUAUCAGAUGAAACUUUGUUUCAUCAUCUCGUCACAUUUAUCUUUAAACGUGACCUGAUGUUUGUUCCAGCGCUGUAGCCAAGAUUCUGGGUAAUACUGAGUCUCCACCGUUCGUAUAUGCAUAUUUGAUUUAUUAACCUAACUCUUCUACACUGACAAAAUAUGGUUUCAUACCGUAGUAAGUAGUCAAAUUAAAGGAUAUUAAGUCCAAAAUUAAUGAAUUAAUGUUGGGAGGUUGGGACAUGAGUUAAUCCAGGAUUUUUUUAAAAAACCUUUACUUUAAUACCGUCACUCAUUUCACUGAAAUCACACAAACAGUCGUCGUGGUACAAAUCAGCUCCUUUAUUUCCUCAAGCACCCGCGGUGCAGCCCAUAUUAUUAAAUCUCUGCUAUAAGUUAAGAUAUUUACAACGUCAUUCAAGGCCCUUCACAAAAUGUAUCACGACCGUCUAUUUACAUUGUACAAAACUUUGCAUACGUUAUGAUCCGUACACCAAACCCUCUUCCCUUGGACAAAAAAAUAAAACUAAACAAAGAAAGCAGUCACAUCUUUUCACCCAGACCCCAAGUUGUGCAUUUCUCACCGAAAUCAUUCCCCAACCCAACCACCACUGUUUUUUUUUUAAUUUUUUCUUUUUCUUUUCAGACAGGCAGGUACAAAGGUCACAGUCAACGGGUCAGCUACUGAAGAACUCAAGACUGUCAGUAAGGCAGGGAGGUCCUGAGUCCUCAGUCGGAUCACUGCACACCUCCGUCGCAGUGUUCGUAAAUUCACUCAGGCUGAUAGAAAUCGACAGCAGUAAAUGGGGACGAAUCACGUUUUUACAGUGUAUGAGUUUCUGUUGCUCGUGCUGGCAGCAUCGUUCUCAGAGGGAGGCAGCUCUGUGGCUUCAGACAUGGCACAGAGAGGGGGAGGGAAAUAUGAAGCUUCAUGUAGGAGGACACGAACAUCACUCUGUGGUCAUCGCUGUCAUUUUGUGUUGGGAUUUUGUGGUGAAUCAUUUUGCUUAUUCAUUAAAUAAAUUCAGCCCAUCA
Long non-coding RNA from Scophthalmus maximus (turbot), 2339 nucleotides. RefSeq lists it as uncharacterized. NCBI's taxonomy places the organism in Eukaryota, Metazoa, Chordata, Actinopteri, Pleuronectiformes, Scophthalmidae. The record is from RefSeq and is a predicted model, not a curated record. The transcript is spliced from 5 exons.